GACGAACGCUGGCGGCGUGCCUAAUACAUGCAAGUAGAACGCACAGUUUAUACCGUAGCUUGCUACACAAUAAACUGUGAGUUGCGAACGGGUGAGUAACGCGUAGGUAACCUGCCUGGUAGCGGGGGAUAACUAUUGGAAACGAUAGCUAAUACCGCAUAAUAUUGAUUAUUGCAUGAUAAUUGAUUGAAAGAUGCUAUUGCAUCACUACCAGAUGGACCUGCGUUGUAUUAGCUAGUAGGUGAGGUAACGGCUCACCUAGGCGACGAUACAUAGCCGACCUGAGAGGGUGAUCGGCCACACUGGGACUGAGACACGGCCCAGACUCCUACGGGAGGCAGCAGUAGGGAAUCUUCGGCAAUGGACGAAAGUCUGACCGAGCAACGCCGCGUGAGUGAAGAAGGUUUUCGGAUCGUAAAGCUCUGUUGUAAGAGAAGAACGGGUGUGAGAGUGGAAAGUUCACACUGUGACGGUAUCUUACCAGAAAGGGACGGCUAACUACGUG
This 505-nucleotide ribosomal RNA is filed under the name uncultured bacterium. RNAcentral describes it as "partial 16S ribosomal RNA". It matches the Rfam family "Bacterial small subunit ribosomal RNA", at positions 28 to 507 of the family's 1533-position model. The record is from RNAcentral.